This is a long non-coding RNA of Gopherus evgoodei (Goodes thornscrub tortoise), 272 nucleotides long. RefSeq lists it as uncharacterized. The record is from RefSeq and is a predicted model, not a curated record. NCBI's taxonomy places the organism in Eukaryota, Metazoa, Chordata, Testudines, Testudinidae. The transcript is spliced from 4 exons.
UUCUCCUCAGCUUUGGGAUGUUAAUCCAGCCCGUUUGAUCUGCAGCAAUUUGUCCUUGGUUAGCCUGCUGAAGGAUGUCGUCCAUGUUUCGCUCCAGCUCAUCCCAUCCUCCCAUGGGACAGGGAAGGGAAAUGGCUGCAGAGGAGCCAGUUCAGGGGCCGGUGACCUUUGAGGAGGUGUCUGUGUAUUUCACCCGGAGAGAGGGGGCUCUGCUGGACCCCACUCAGAGAGCCUUCUACAGGGAUGUCAUGCAGGAGAACUAUGAGAAUGUG